CAUUUUGUCUUGCUAACACUGCUCAUCACAGGUUAAUCAGUGGUGUGCCAUUUACAGCGCUGGACCCUUUACGUCAAUUCUCUUUAUUCCUUAAAACAACGCAAUGGUUGUCCCCAUUGACAGAUGAGGAAACUGAGACUGCAUGUGAAGCAAAUUGCUCAUGGUCACACACCUUUGGGAUACAAAUCCCAAUCCUCUGACUCCAGAAAGAAGGCCUGUCUUCUUGCAUUAACUAUCAGAAAUGAGUAACAAAUCCACGCUCGUUCAGUCUUUUGAGCCACUGCUUAAGCUGUUUGCCUUUAGGUGACAAAUACCUCCACCAUCUCUGCUUACCCUUCCAGUUCUGGAAUAUUCCUCAAAGCCCUGGAGCCACCACAGAGGACCCAGAUUAUACCUACAAACAUCCAUGUCCCCCUUUCUAGCCAUGGCAUGGAACAGACUCUCUGUCACUUGUUCCAGCUUCUGAUCAUUUGAAAAAAUGGAUUGGAGUUUUUCCUUCUCUCUCUGCUCUUGGACACACUUCAACAGAUCUUCUGUUAGGAGUGAAUUUGCCAAAAAGAGCCAACAGGAAGGUUCUAGAAUCGAAAGGCAACCAGAUAAACUACCUCAAGGAAAAAUACAAGCUGCUUGUGUAAACCCUGGUAGACAGCCUGUUGGCCAGGAUUCUCCAUAGGCAACCAGUUUUACAGGCCAGAAAUGGGCAGAACUUGAUGUUCCAGGCGCCAGAGCAAGGCAAGUGAUGUAUUUAACAACCAGCCUGGGCCACGGCAGGAAGACAGACAGACGUAAAGUAAAGCUGAAUCCAAAGUACACUCUGCAGGUUGGUCCCGUGACUAAACGGAGACGGGAGUCGGAGGAACCUUGUGUACAGCGCAUUCUUGGGCCACAGUGCCCAGGCUGUGUGGUGUCUGAAGUGACUCAGACCUUCAAAUGGGCCUCGUAGCACCCAUCUUACAUCCUAGUCCUUCCAAGCUGGUCCCCCACUGGUGGCAGAGGCUGAUGGGGUGGAAUGUGUUCAUCUAGGAUUCCAGUAAAGCAUCAAGCACUUUUUUCCUGCGGUCAUUAGGAGAGAGGACGAUUAUGCCAGGGAAGAGCAUCUCGGGCCCAGCCUAAGGCCUUGGCAGCUCAAUAUUAGGGCUGAUGUGGCUUUUGCCUCUCCAAGAAACAUAUUUCUGGGUUUGGCAACAGAAUGCAACCAAACACCUGGAUCCCAUUUCCUUCCCUUAUCUCUGGCUGAUUCUACACUCAGACUUCAAAACUCUCCUUUCCUUCUCACUGAUAGGCAAAUCUUUGGAUCACAGGCCCUGCUUUUUUGACUUUGGAGAACCAUCGGUCUGGCAAAAGGACUGAAGACAGAAUGGCCAUGGCUUGAGAGGUUUUUCAUAGCCCAUAGAGGGGAGCCUGGCACCUGUCUAAUCGCCCAUAGCCUCUGGGAAGUGAAAAUGGGCAGCUGCUAAAGAAUGCUAAUUUCAUUUAUGCGUAGUGCCAUCUUGCUUAACAAAGGUGUUUUGAACAAAACUGGCUUCUGCUCAUCAUGCUGGGCUAAGUGCUCAUCUCCUCUGUGCUGAGUCCUUGUCACCUUGCACCCACAGGUCUCUGUGUCAGCCUAGAAGACUCCCUGCGCCCCAUCAUUGGGAAAGGAGGGAGGUACCACCCUGGUCUUAGAAUCACAGUGGGGGAAACGACCAGAGAGAGUCAUCAUCUGGUUUUGUUAACAAGGAACUAUUUACAAAAACUGAGAAACCACACUCCAAGAUGGAAAACCAAGAUUUGGGCAAAUUAAAGCAUGGAAUAUCAAGCCUCAUUUUCAGAUUAGGAAACCGAGGCCUGGAAAGUUUAAGCAGCUUGCCGGCAGUUGACUGUCCACGCGUCCAGGAUCAGAUGAGUCCUGGCUCUGGCGGGCCCCUUGGAGAAGGUGAAGCCUUCCAUGGCCAUCAGUCCCUGAUGCUGGAUAUCAGACACCACAUCAGGAAACCAAGCCUCAGAGACGCGGAGUUAGGCUUCAGAUCCGGCAAGAGCAGACUGCGUCUGGGCAUCACACAUUCCGGCCUGAACCAGAAGGACGUGGAAACGCACACAAAACGUUGACCAUGACAUUCAGGAACUAAGUGACGUUGUUAAACGCUCCUUGGAACCCCUAGGGAAAAGCCAAGGUUCUUGAAGAAAUGUAUAAACCACGGAGAGACCCUUGCCAGAUGCCAGGUCUGUAAAGUUGGAAAUCUUGUCCAGAAAUAAAUAUAGAAACGAAG
This is a long non-coding RNA of Equus caballus (horse), 2249 nucleotides long. The record is from Ensembl. NCBI's taxonomy places the organism in Eukaryota, Metazoa, Chordata, Mammalia, Perissodactyla, Equidae.